RNAcentral lists this ribosomal RNA (1434 nucleotides) under uncultured bacterium. RNAcentral describes it as "bacterial SSU rRNA". It matches the Rfam family "Bacterial small subunit ribosomal RNA". The record is from RNAcentral.
AGAGUUUGAUCCUGGCUCAGGAUGAACGCCGGCGGUGUGCCUAAUACAUGCAAGUCGUACGCACUGGCCCAACUGAUUGAUGGUGCUUGCACCUGAUUGACGAUGGAUCACCAGUGAGUGGCGGACGGGUGAGUAACACGUAGGUAACCUGCCUCGGAGCGGGGGAUAACAUUUGGAAACAGAUGCUAAUACCGCAUAACAACAAAAGCCACAUGGCCUUUGUUUGAAAGAUGGCUUUGGCUAUCACUCUGGGAUGGACCUGCGGUGCGUUAGCUAGUUGGUAAGGUAACGGCUUACCAAGGCAAUGAUGCAUAGCCGAGUUGAGAGACUGAUCGGCCACAAUGGAACUGAGACACGGUCCAUACUCCUACGGGAGGCAGCAGUAGGGAAUCUUCCACAAUGGGCGCAAGCCUGAUGGAGCAACACCGCGUGAGUGAAGAAGGGUUUCGGCUCGUAAAGCUCUGUUGUUGGAGAAGAACGUGCGUGAGAGUAACUGUUCACGCAGUGACGGUAUCCAACCAGAAAGUCACGGCUAACUACGUGCCAGCAGCCGCGGUAAUACGUAGGUGGCAAGCGUUAUCCGGAUUUAUUGGGCGUAAAGCGAGCGCAGGCGGUUGCUUAGGUCUGAUGUGAAAGCCUUCGGCUUAACCGAAGAAGUGCAUCGGAAACCGGGCGACUUGAGUGCAGAAGAGGACAGUGGAACUCCAUGUGUAGCGGUGGAAUGCGUAGAUAUAUGGAAGAACACCAGUGGCGAAGGCGGCUGUCUGGUCUGCAACUGACGCUGAGGCUCGAAAGCAUGGGUAGCGAACAGGAUUAGAUACCCUGGUAGUCCAUGCCGUAAACGAUGAGUGCUAGGUGUUGGAGGGUUUCCGCCCUUCAGUGCCGGAGCUAACGCAUUAAGCACUCCGCCUGGGGAGUACGACCGCAAGGUUGAAACUCAAAGGAAUUGACGGGGGCCCGCACAAGCGGUGGAGCAUGUGGUUUAAUUCGAAGCUACGCGAAGAACCUUACCAGGUCUUGACAUCUUGCGCUAACCUUAGAGAUAAGGCGUUACCUUCGGGGACGCAAUGACAGGUGGUGCAUGGUCGUCGUCAGCUCGUGUCGUGAGAUGUUGGGUUAAGUCCCGCAACGAGCGCAACCCUUGUUACUAGUUGCCAGCAUUAAGUUGGGCACUCUAGUGAGACUGCCGGUGACAAACCGGAGGAAGGUGGGGACGACGUCAGAUCAUCAUGCCCCUUAUGACCUGGGCUACACACGUGCUACAAUGGACGGUACAACGAGUCGCAAGCUCGCGAGAGUAAGCUAAUCUCUUAAAGCCGUUCUCAGUUCGGACUGUAGGCUGCAACUCGCCUACACGAAGUCGGAAUCGCUAGUAAUCGCGGAUCAGCAUGCCGCGGUGAAUACGUUCCCGGGCCUUGCACACACCGCCCGUCA